RNAcentral lists this long non-coding RNA (5646 nucleotides) under Scleropages formosus (Asian bonytongue). RNAcentral describes it as "lncRNA (ENSSFOG00015018247.2)". The record is from RNAcentral. Lineage: Eukaryota; Metazoa; Chordata; Actinopteri; Osteoglossiformes; Osteoglossidae.
AUGGAAGCUUCAGUCAUCUGCUGGGUGUUUUUCACCCUGUUGACCUUGUCUCCAGUCCUUUGGGCUCAGAGUAUAGUGCAAGUGCAUUCUGGGCUCCAAGUCAGCCGAGGAAAGUCUGUUUAUGUGACCAACAAGGAUCUGCAGCUCAGUCUCCCUGAUGAUGUGAAUUCCUGCAAGGUGGAAGUGGUAUUGAAUGAACCCGUGACACAAAGAGUUGGCAAACUCACACCUCAGGUUUUUGACUGUAACUUCUUACCUGAUGAGGUCAAGUACAUUCAUAAUGGUAGUCCUUUACUGGAGGAGGACACAGUGAUGCUAAGAAUCUACAGAUUUACACAUUCUGAGACUUUCAUAGAGACUGUUCUGCUGAGGGUGAGUGUGGUGGACCCCCAUGACAGCCUUAUCCAGUUUGGGAGAACUCCUUUGGUGGUCCCUGAGUUCUACAGCUUGUCUAACAUCAUUGACAGCAGAGUACUGACAUUCCAGAGCAGACCAGGAGCGAUCUGCAAUGUCCGUCUUCUCAACUCUGAAACUAGCAUGCCAGCAUUUGGACAGCUGGUCAAGGGUAGUCAGACUCGAGACUCAUGUGCUGGUAACAAAGCCUGCAUCCAUGGCGCUAAGGAAGUACGUUUUUUAAAGGCCAACUGUGAGGAAUUCCUGAAAUCAGACUAUAAGUACCAGCAUCUCAAUCCUCCAUCCCCCGAGAUUGAUUACAUUACAAUCAGAGUGGAGCUGCGGGACAACAUCUCCAGGACAGAAAGCACUUGGAUCCCAGUCCUAAUUCAUGGUGCCAUGCAGAACCAGCCCCCCCAUGCUGCCUUCAUGUCAAUGUUCAUCCUGGAGGUGGACCAGUUCAUUCUCACUCCCAUGACCACUGCUGCACUCGAUGCCAAGGACGAUGAAACCACUCAAGACCAGUUGGUGUUCAACAUUACUAAGCCCCCACCAGAGGGGUAUGUCACUCACCUGGAUGACCAUACCAAGCCAAUCACCUCCUUUAUCUGGCAAGACUUGCAUGAGAUGAAAAUUGCGUAUCAGCCCCCUAACAUAAGCUACACUGGGAGAAGGAACUAUGAGGUUGAGUUCCAGGCCAUUGACACUUCCUUUGCUACCAGUCCUACCAUACUGGUUCACUUCUCAGUCCGGACCGCAGAAACAAAUGCUCCUCGAGUGUCCUGGAAUAUGGGACUGGAUUUACUGGAAGGUCAAUCCAGACCAAUCACCUGGGAGAAUUUGCAGAUUGUGGACAGUGACAACAUCGAUGCAGUCUAUUUGGUGGCUGUGGAGGGACCUUCACAUGGGCAGCUGAGUGUGCGAGGUGGGAAAGGUUUCAUGUUCAAGGUGCAAGACCUGCAUGAGGGUGUAGUGGUGUACCAUCAUUCAGACAGCGACACCAUAAGGGACCAUAUAGUGUUCCGCAUCUCUGAUGGUCAGCACAGCAUUCGACACAAGUUCCCCAUCAAUAUUCUCCCAAAAGACGAUACACCUCCAUUCCUCAUCAACAAUGUGGCAUUUGAGGUGCAGGAGGGGGGUUCUGUUCUGGUGGAGGAAUACAUGUUAUUAGCCUCAGACUUGGACUCCAGCGAUGACUACAUCUUCUAUAAGGUUCUUACAGUUCCACGAGCCGGAGAGUUGAUUAAGAGGUCAUCUGCCCAGUUCCCAGUGACUAGUUUCCUGCAGAGAGAUUUGUCUCAGGGCUUAAUUUAUUACAGACACUUUGGUGAUGAGGUAUUUGAAGAUUCAUUUGACUUCAUCCUCUCUGACAGCCACCAACCCCCAAAUCUGUCAGAAAGACAUACUGUGGUGGUUCAUGUUUCUCCAGUAAAGGACCAGCUGCCAGAGGAGGUGCCAGGCAGCAUCCGUGCCAUCACAGUGAAGGAGACAGAAAUUGUCCACCUCACCCAGAGCCACCUGCACUUCAGGGACCAAGAGUCUCCUGAGACAGACCUCAUGUAUUCCAUCAUUCAGCCCUGUUUCAGCCCCACAGCAUCCAGGAUGCAGGAUGCCGGCAGGCUGUUCUAUACUGACAGUGCAUACUCCAUGAAGAAGGAUCCCACUGUUCCAGUGCUGAAGUCUUUUACUCAGCACUUAAUGCUUUGUCUGUAUCUCCAGCAUGCAGUGAAUCACCUGAAAGUGGGGUACAUGCCCCCCCUCGAAGACAUUGGACCAGAGCCUCUUUUUGUGCAGUUUAUCUUCUCUCUGAAUGACCAGCACGGUGGCACUCUGAGCGGCCUUGUCUUCAACAUUACCGUGAUGCCAGUGGACAACCAGCCUCCUGAGAUGUUCACCAACUUGAUGAGGGUGGAGGAGGGAGGAAGUGGCUUCGUGACCGAAGAGCACCUCCUGGUGCGGGACACGGAUAGCCAGGACACCCAGCUGAUGUUGCAGCUUCAAACAGCUCCUCGGCAUGGACAGCUGGAGCUGCAGGGUAUAGCGUUACUGUCAGGGGACAACUUUACUGUCCAGGACCUGAGGAGGCUCAGAGUCAGGUAUAUUCACGAUGACAGCGAAACUCUUGAAGACAGUAUUGACCUCAAAGCAACAGAUGGCACAAACUCUGCUUAUGGAUCACUCUCUAUCCUGCCUGUGAAUGAUGAGCCGCCCCUGCUCGGUGCCGGGCUACGAUCAGGCCUGGAGUGUGCAGAGGGGGGACGUGUGCAGGUGAGCGCGGACUACCUGUCUGCCACGGAUGCAGACAGUGAUGACGCCGAGCUCAUGUACAUGUUGGCACGGAGGCCAGCCCAAGGAGAACUGCAGAGAGCAGGCAUGGCAGUGGAAAAAUUCUCUCAGUGGGAUGUUGUCCAGGGGUUGAUCUUCUACGUGCACACAGGUGGUGAGAUCGGACCCCACCCUGUCUUAGACCCCGUCACCUUGAUUGUGUCAGAUGGAGAAGCUGGCCCUCUGGAGGGCUGCUGCCAUGGAGAUGCUCCACCACCACCUGUCCCUUUGCAUGGAUUCCUUCCUGUAUACGACCUCAACAUCACUGUACUUCCUGUCAAUAACCUGCCCCCUGUUAUCACACUAGGAGACAUGAUUGUGGUGGAUGAGGGUUCCUCUGCUUGUCUCUGUGGGGGGUUUCUGGGGGCAACUGAUCCUGAUACACCCCAGGACCAGCUCCUGUUUUCCAUUGAUGUUCCACCCCAGUAUGGCUUUAUAGAGAACACCUUGCCCUCACCCGGGUUUGAGAAGAGCAACGCAGGACUCAGAGUUUACUCUUUCAGCUGGCUGCACCUCAAUGCAGGGUACAUCAACUAUGUCCAGUCUCAGCAUGAAGGGACAGAGCCUGGAGCUGACCACUUUGUUGUGACAGUCAGCGAUGGGGUGCAGAGGUCAGCCUCAGUUCCCUUCUACAUAAUCAUCAGUCCUACAAAUGAUGAGAUGCCCACACUCAUCACUGGGGCAACUAUGUCAAUAAGCAGUCUCACUGCAUGGGGGCUGACUGUGCUACUGGCUUCACUCACUCCUCACCCUUCUCUCCUCUGUGUGCUUCCCCCCUUUCAUCCCAACCUCCCCCAUCCCAAAUCCCACACACAUCCUCUACCCUCCACAGGAAUGAAGAUCAUAUACAUGCACGAUGACACGGAAACCCUCAAGGACGCUUUCACCAUGCAGCUGACAGAUGGCAGGCACACAGUCCAGGGGACGGCGCACGUCCGCGUCCUACCAGUCAAUGAUGAAAAGCCACGGCUGCUGAAAAAUACUGGUCUGGAAGUGGAGGCAAUGGAGAAGAGAAUUAUCUCCAGUGUGGUAUUGGAUGCAGAAGACCUGGACACCCCCAUACAUAAAUUGUACUACAUCCUCAGUGUUGGCCCCAAGUUCGGACAGCUGCAGAUGAAGGUCAGCCGCUGGAUUCAUCUGAGACCAGGCCAGAACUUCACGCAAGAUGAUGUGGAGAUGAACCGCCUGUGGUACCUGCACACAACCAUGCAAGGAACGAAAGGUCACGACAGCUUCCACUUUUUCCUCACCGAUGGGGAGCACAAAUCUUUGCCCCACAGCUUCUUCAUCUCGCUCCGCACAGUACGAAAAGGGGACAUCACCCUUGUCACCAGGCCCAUCACCUUGAUGGAAGGUCACAGGGUCGUCCUGAACACAGACAUCCUGUUGGCCAUGGACAACACAGGCAAAGCAGAAGAGCUGGUGUACACGGUAUCGGUUCCUCCGAACCACGGGCACCUUCAUGCAGUGCAGCACCCUGGCAUCGCCCUCACCAGCUUCACCCAGCUGGAUGUGGCAGCCCAUCGAGUAUGCUAUACCCACGAUAACAGCCGCUCAGCCAAGCAAGAUUCCUUCAGGUCAGACUUUGUCAUCAGCAAUGGUGUCACAUCGAAAAGUGGCUCCCUGCUCUUCAAUGUGGAACAUGGUGACCGCAUCCCUCCUACCCUAGUGACCAACAAAGGGCUCCAGCUCAUGGAGGGUACAGUGGCACUAAUCUCUCAGGACAGUCUAGAGCUGACCGACCCAGACACCACAGUGGAUAACUUGACUUAUGUUGUAACUCAGCAACCCCUUCACGGAAGGUUACUACUAAGAGGACAGCCUCUCUCCCAACCAAGAUUCACACAGGGUGAUGUGAACAACUUGGACCUGACCUACCGGCAGCAGAGUGUAAAGGCCCAGAUGGAUAAGUUUGCUUUCCUGCCCUCCGAUGGUACAAACAAAGGGUUUCUGCUGCAUGGCCAGCUGAGAGAGGAUCCAGUCAUUUUCAUAAUACAGGUGGAGCAUGUAGAUAAAAGCCCCCCAAGCCUGGUGACCAAGAGAAGCCCUAGUACAGUGGAGAACCUGCAUGAUGGCAGGCAGGGCAUCUACAUCACCUCCAGAGACCUGCGGGCAUCUGACCCUGACAGUCCAGAUCAGGAGCUGGAGUUCACUAUCCUCAGACCACCACAUUUUGGGCACUUAGAGAACAUCCUCACAGGGGGAUACAUAAGAGGCCGCUUCACACAGAAGGACCUGAACCAGCGUGCGGUGCUGUACAUUAUUGACCCCAGUGUGGAAGUGACAGGAGACAGCUUUGAGCUCCAAGUCAGUGACUCUGCAGGAAACACCAUGCUGCCGGAAGUCCUGGAGCUGAAAUGGUCUCGUGUAGAGCUGUCAGCGACGUGUUUCCGUGUUUGUGAGAACAUGGGGGUGUUGCCCCUUCAAGUGACACGCACCGGGAACAGCGCAGACCCUGCCUAUGUCAGCAUCCAGGUGGAAGAGGGCACUGCCAAAGUGGGGAAAGAUUUUACUCAUAGCUCAGCCAGUUUGAUCCAGUUUGAUACAGGGGUCAAUAUCAAAAGUUGGAAAAUCAAUCUUAAGGAUGACGGACUGGAGGAGAACCAUGAGAACUUUGAGGUGGUCUUGAAAGCGCAGAAGAAUGCAGUUCUGGGUCAGAAAAACCGAGCAACUGUAGAAAUUGUGGACCCCAGAGGAGGUGAGAAAAAAAUGCAUGUUUGCAUUAUACACACUGAGGGAAUACUGCAAGUCCAAGGUGGUGGACUGACAGAACAUGUGGGAAACGGAGGGACAACAGAACCGAUUUGGUUAGUCCACCUCCAGAUCUUCAGAUCAAGGAUGUGGGGUUUCUGCCAUUCCAUACAAGCAGAAUAUAUUAGCAUUUACGUCUGUAAUAUGAUGUUGGCAGUUUGUGUCGAAAAGGUUUAA